RNAcentral lists this ribosomal RNA (690 nucleotides) under uncultured prokaryote. Its description in RNAcentral is "bacterial SSU rRNA". It matches the Rfam family "Bacterial small subunit ribosomal RNA", at positions 28 to 710 of the family's 1533-position model. The record is from RNAcentral.
GAUGAACGCUAGCGACAGGCCUAACACAUGCAAGUCGAGGGGUAGCACAGAAUAGCUUGCUAUUUGGGUGACGACCGGCGCACGGGUGAGUAACGCGUAUGCAACCUGCCUAUAAGAGGGGGAUAGCCUUUCGAAAGAAAGAUUAAUACCGCAUAAUACUAUUUGCCUGCAUGGGUAAAUAGUUAAACUAUUUGGCUUAUAGAUGGGCAUGCGUUCCAUUAGAUAGUUGGUGAGGUAACGGCUCACCAAGUCAGCGAUGGAUAGGGGUUCUGAGAGGAAGGUCCCCCACACUGGUACUGAGACACGGACCAGACUCCUACGGGAGGCAGCAGUGAGGAAUAUUGGUCAAUGGGCGAGAGCCUGAACCAGCCAAGUCGCGUGAAGGAUGAAGGUCUUAUGGAUUGUAAACUUCUUUUAUAAGGGAAUAAAAAAGAUCACGUGUGGUUUAUUGCAUGUACCUUAUGAAUAAGCAUCGGCUAACUCCGUGCCAGCAGCCGCGGUAAUACGGAGGAUGCGAGCGUUAUCCGGAUUUAUUGGGUUUAAAGGGUGCGUAGGCGGUUUAUUAAGUCAGUGGUGAAAGUUUUCGGCUCAACCGGAAAAUUGCCAUUGAAACUGAUAGACUUGAGUGUAAACGAGGUAGGCGGAAUUCGUGGUGUAGCGGUGAAAUGCUUAGAUNUCACGAAGAACUCC